Molecule: long non-coding RNA, 877 nt
Filed under: Medicago truncatula (barrel medic)
Lineage: Eukaryota; Viridiplantae; Streptophyta; Magnoliopsida; Fabales; Fabaceae
Description: long non-coding RNA (MTRU_LNC001936)
Source: RNAcentral
GAAGGAGAUGGUGGAGGAGGAGAUUUAUAAACGUAUGGAGGUGGUGGGGAUGGAGACGGUGGAGGUGGUGACUUGUAAACAUAUGGUGGGGGAGGAGAGGGAGAUGGAGGUGGUGGCGACUUAUAAAUAUAGGGUGGAGGAGGAGAAGGUGAUGGUGGGGGUGGGGACUUGUAAACAUAUGGAGGAGGAGGGGAAGGGGAAGGAGGUGGUGGUGACUUAUAUACAUAUGGUGGAGGGGGUGAAGGUGAUGGUGGGGGUGGAGAUUUGUAGACAUAUGGAGGUGGUGGAGAUGGGGAUGGUGGAGGUGGUGACUUGUAGACAUAUGGUGGAGGGGGGGAUGGAGAUGGGGGUGGUGGUGAUUUAUAUACAUAUGGUGGGGGAGGGGAGGGUGAUGGUGGAGGAGGAGACUUGUAUAUAUAUGGUGGAGGGGGUGAUGGGGAUGGUGGUGGUGGGGACUUGUAAAUAUAUGGAGGUGGUGGAGAUGGGGAUGGUGGUGGUGGUGACUUGUAGACAUAUGGAGGAGGAGGUGAAGGGGAUGGAGGUGGUGGUGACUUGUAAACAUAAGGUGGGGGAGGUGAGGGUGAUGGUGGAGGAGGAGACUUGUAGACAUAUGGAGGUGGUGGUGAUGGAGAGGGUGGUGGUGGACUCUUAUAGACAUAUGGUGGGGGAGGUGAAGGAGAUGGAGGAGGUGGUGACUUGUAGACAUAUGGAGGAGGAGGAGAGGGAGAUGGAGGUGGUGGGGACUUGUACACAUACGGAGGAGGUGGUGAGGGAGAUGGUGGAGGUGGAGAUUUGUAGUAAUAAGGUGGGUAUUUGUGGACAUAUGGAGGUGGUGGCGAUGGAGAAGGUGGAGGUGGGGAUUUGUAGUAAUAUGGAG